UCCCUCGAGCCGGAUUUGAACCAGCGACCUAAGGAUCACCGUUGUAACAACAACUCUGCUCUGCCAACUGAGCUAUCGAGGG
Molecule: non-coding RNA, 82 nt
Organism: Cordylochernes scorpioides
Lineage: Eukaryota; Metazoa; Arthropoda; Arachnida; Pseudoscorpiones; Chernetidae
Source: the annotation of a GenBank genome assembly